This 69-nucleotide transfer RNA is filed under the name Leptocoris augur. RNAcentral's name for it is "tRNA-Gln". Lineage: Eukaryota; Metazoa; Arthropoda; Insecta; Hemiptera; Rhopalidae. The record is from RNAcentral.
UACAUGUUAGUGUAUGAUGCACAAAGAAUUUUGAAUUCUUUAGGUUUAGUUUAAAUCUAAAAUAUGUAA